RNAcentral lists this ribosomal RNA (766 nucleotides) under uncultured bacterium. RNAcentral's name for it is "bacterial SSU rRNA". It matches the Rfam family "Bacterial small subunit ribosomal RNA", at positions 656 to 1418 of the family's 1533-position model. The record is from RNAcentral.
GGCAGAUGGAAUUAGUGGUGUAGGGGUAAAAAUCCGUAGAGAUCACUAGGAAUACCGAAAGCGAAGGCGAUCUGCUGGUACAUUACUGACGCUAAGAUACGAAAGCGUGGGGAGCAAACAGGAUUAGAUACCCUGGUAGUCCACGCCCUAAACGAUGAAUGCUAGUCGUCGGAACGCUUGUCGUUUCGGUGAUGCAGUUAACACAUUAAGCAUUCCGCCUGGGGAGUACGGUCGCAAGAUUAAAACUCAAAGGAAUAGACGGGGACCCGCACAAGUGGUGGAGCAUGUGGUUUAAUUCGAAGAUACGCGAAGAACCUUACCUAGGCUUGACAUAGUGAGAAUCCACCAGAGAUGGAGGAGUGCCUGCUUGCAGGAAUUCAUAUACAGGUGCUGCACGGCUGUCGUCAGCUCGUGUCGUGAGAUGUUGGGUUAAGUCCCGCAACGAGCGCGGCCCUCGUCGUUAGUUGCUAACAGUUCGGCUGAGCACUCUAGCGAGACUGCCUUCGCAAGGAGGAGGAAGGUGAGGACGACGUCAAGUCAUCAUGGCCCUUAUGCCUAGGGCGACACACGUGCUACAAUGGGGCGUACAGAGAGCUGCAAUACCGCGAGGUGGAGCCAAUCUCUAAAGCGUCUCUCAGUUCGGAUUGUAGUCUGCAACUCGACUACAUGAAGCUGGAAUCACUAGUAAUCGCGGAUCAGCCAUGCCGCGGUGAAUACGUUCCCGGGUCUUGUACUCACCGCCCGUCACACCAUGGGAGUUGAUUUC